Long non-coding RNA from Gallus gallus (chicken), 4192 nucleotides. RefSeq lists it as uncharacterized. NCBI's taxonomy places the organism in Eukaryota, Metazoa, Chordata, Aves, Galliformes, Phasianidae. The transcript has 2 exons. The record is from RefSeq and is a predicted model, not a curated record.
GAGGCGAUGCGGGGACGGAGAGCGGGAUCGCGGUGCUAAGUCGGGGCUGAGCCCCGCGGCCGGGCAGGGCAGGGCAUACUGCGCGCCCCGGGGGUGAGGGACGGAGCUAAUCCCCCUGCGGCUUUGGGGCGGGCUCCGCGCUGAGGGAUUGGCGGCGGCCUCAGCCGUCCUUCGCCCGCGGAGCGCUGAGGAGAAGCGCGGGGCGGGGAGCGCCGCCGCGGGGUGGGUUUCCCCCACACGCACUGCCGUCCUACCGUGAGCGCUGCCCUAAGGAACCCUAUUCGGAAAGAUACUACUCCGAUAGCUCUGGAUUUGCUUCUUACGCUUUUGUUCCGCCCUCGUGUUGGACAGAAAUAUGAAGCAGUAUUGGAUUAGUGUCUUUUCCUGGGCUAAAGAAAAGUUUAACAAUGAAUAUAGUAGGCAUCCCUUUGGGAAUCAGACCAUUCUUCUUUCUGUUAGAGAAAUCAAAGCACAGAGUAAUAGUGUCGGUCUUUUAAUACCGCAAAAUACCUGAUGGUUGCGUACAUUAGGGUAAAUGUAUAGGCAGAAAGCCUCUGUCUGGAUAUAGAUCAGUGUUCUUCCUUUUCAGUGGAUCCAUCAACGCAAAGCCAUCCGGUUUAUAAUAGUUUUCUUUACCAAAGUGGUUGGGGUGUUCCCCAGCCCUGUGCACUUAACCUUCCAUUUGUCUUUGCUCUUUGGUUUUUCUGUUCUGAUUGAUACAGCCUCGGUCUUUCCAGAGCUUUUAAGAAGAGGAACUCCAUUCUCCACAAUCCAGUAGUUAUUAUUAUUUUUAAUUCAGUUUCCCUUUGAUCUAAUGUAAUGCAUAAUUAAAUUGCAUGGUCUGAAUUAAAACUCCACCAUUGCGUGUGUCCUUUUAACUUGCUCUUUCCUGUGGUUUUGUAAUGUCAGUUCACAGUAGUGUUUCCAGUGAGUGCAAUGAAAAGCAUUGUCUUUGCUUUCCACUUGUUUUCUUUAAUUAUUAGGUGAAAAUAAUUACUAUAUCUCUGUUGAACUCAGUGACAUGCAAUGAUUUUUCAUGUUCAGGCAAUCUUAGUCUUGUGUUGGUAAACAAGUUCCCAUACCUUGUGUAUGGACCAGAGAGUGGCUUGUUGUAAGAGACAAAUUACGUCCUGGAAUUUGAGUUGAACAACAGAGACAAGUCUUUUGAAGACCUUCUACAUUUACAGCAGAGGAAUGUGUUUACUUUUGUCCUUGCAGGCUGAGGUGUGAGCAGCAGUAGAAUUGCGUGCAUAGUCAUUGGAUUAACCAUUUCUCUUCUUAUAACUUAGCACAUACAUCUUCAGUCCUAGACAGGAGCUAUCUGUCUUGCAAUUCAGCAGUAUCUUUCUUUGUAUGCCAAAAUAAAUCUGUCCUUCUGUCCUUGGUAGCUUUCCUUUUCCACCAGCCCUCUCCAUCAUGUCAUUUUUGUUCUUAAACCUGUAUUGUUUUUUUCCUUUCUCUCGAAGACCACUCAAGAACCUUCUCUCCCACUGACAAUUCUUUGGCAAACACAGCUGUUGUCCUGUUGCAUAUCCAGGCUAGUAUUAUGCAAGCUUCUGGCACUAGCUUUCAUAUGUCUCGCUUGUAUUUCUAAGCACUUAUCUAUCAUCUCCCUAAUCUGCCUAUUCCUCUUUUAAUAUGUCUGUAGUCUCUGGGCCCUCUUUCCUAGCUUUUGUAUUUCCCAGCCAGAAUUCUACUGGUUAAGCUGCCUUUGGAGUGUUUUUGAGUACCUCUGAGGUACAGUUUUCCUCUCUGAUUCUGCAGUGUCCAUGUGAAAGCGUCUCACCUGUGUUGCACAAUUCAUGAGUUGCUGCAAAUACUUGCAGAGAUCUCUGUUCUGCCUUUCAUUUGUCUUGUGGCAAGAGCUCAGGGAAAACAGACUCUUGUCCUACCAACUCUUCACAAGAGGCUUGACUGGCCCCAGUUUACUUAUUCAGAGCAGGAAGAUUACAGACUUUGUAUGUUGGUAAAGCAGAUGUGUGGCCAGAAGUUAGUCAAAAAAGAAAGGAGAAAAACUGAGAAGGAAUGAAUGUCCACCAGCCUGGCACACACAAAAGAAUUAUGCCAGAAGACUGUACCACAGUGAAGAAAGUAAGCAGCUGUUCCUUCUACCAUACCAAAACUGUUCUUUAAGAGUUGCCAAAUAGUCAGAAGAUAUCUGCUCUGACCCCAAAGUUACAAAGGCAGGGUAGGGUGAAGCAGGCAGCAAACAGUAGGAUGCACAGAUCUGCUCUGGCUGGAGUGAUGUGCAUGGGGUGUGCCACAUGAGUAAUGUGACCCAUUGUAGCUAUACAGCUUUUUUCCACAGCACUGCUAAUCCGCUCCUGGAAGGCAUUGAAACGCACCAAAUAAGUAAAGAUAGUGUGCAACUGAAGUCCUUGGGUUGUUUUUGUUUGUAUAAACAAGUCAAAAAUGCAGACUUUGGAGAACCCUGCCUUUGCGUAUGUGUUUGCGUAGCUGCUGCCCCAAAAAGCACCCAUGGAUUUGGAAAUAGUUGAACUCCAAAUAGUAACAUUCAUCACUAGUACUAAAUGUAAAUUUCCUGCUGUUGAUUUGUCUGUUCCAUCCAGCUUCAGGGAAAAUGAGAGGACCCAGCUGUGGGUCUAGCUCCCAGGCUUACUGCAGUUGAGGGCCGGCUUGUGAAUGUCAGCUGAUUACCAUGUGAUGAACGAGUGAAUCUAACACCCAAACCACUGGAGAAGCAGAGUUAAGAAAUCACUAAGCUUCCGCUUCACACAGACAAAGACACGUAACGUUGAUACUGACAUAAACCUCCUGUGGGGCAGAAGGGAUUAGCAGAGAUACUCCAGCACUUGUUGCCCUUUUCCCUUUAUAAGUUUUAUGUUGUUGCAGAUGGAAGACUUGAGGACCAUGAAAGGCACUGAAUACAUCUGAAAGGCUGUGGGGCAGAUGCCUAUAUAUUUCACUUGGAAGGGAAAAUAAACGAUGUUGUUCAAACCUUGUGAGAUGUACCUAUCCAGGUACGCUUCCUGCCAGCAUGGGUGAAGUUUUCCAUUGUGUAAACUCCUUGAAGAUGCAAACGCUUCAUUUGAGCUCACGUGAUGUUUGGAAAGGUUCCAUUAUGGCAGUAACAAGCGCAACCCUGAAAACAUGUGCAAGUCCAGUUACAGACAUUAAGCUUGUUAGCAAACAGUAAUUCUUGACAGACGGAUUGAAAGAGCAGAGAAACAACUCCCCCCAGAUGCUUGAAAGUCAGACUUCUGGCCUCCAGCCAAAGAGCUGCUCCAGAGCCUUUCUCCUCCCAUGAUCAGGCAGUCUCCCAGUUGUCAAAAAAAGCAUCGGUUCAGCCAGUUUGUGCCUACUGAUAGUUUACAUGCCUGCACCUCAGUAAGUGGUUAAUGUAUCUAUCUAAUGUGGUAGCUCUUAGGUAUGCAUAGGUAAGAAUUUCACUAGAGGAGAGGAGAAAGCAUGCCUGUUGCUGGUGUGUGAAAUGACUGCAUUUUGCACCAGGCAUUUUCCAAACAGAAAAGCUAUUCAUUCUAGCUGCCAGGUUUUGGUGGGGAAAUGCUAAGCAGGUUCAGUUCUGCUGAUGUACGCAGUAGCAAUACCUCUUUUUUCUGUAUCACAGCCAUUAGUGUCACGGUCUGAGUUUCAAAACAAUUCAGAAGUGUGCAAAUAUGGCUUAAUUCACAUUUUCCCCACUGGCAGCAGACCUUAUUUGACAGAAAAAUACAUCUUCACCAGACUUAACAAAAACGCCAGUAAGUUCAUACAGGUGUUUUUGUUAUGUUUUAUCUUAUUUUGCUUUAUGCCAAAGGCUAGUGAAAGUUCCAGGCAGAAGGGAUGUCCAAGAAACAAAAUCUUCACCUUUAUAUGGAGUAGCUUUACAGUUCCAGGCAGCUGCCUCAGGCCAGAUGCAGAGCUGUUGAAGUCAAUGGAAAAAUCAUCCCUUGGGUUUAACAGACUGAGUCAGAUACCUCGCCUAAUGGCUCACAAUGUUGAGUAGCAGGAAUUUCUGUUGGAUCUCAAGGCAUUCGUGAGAAUGCAGGCAGAAGCUGGAAGGACAACACCUGCCCUUACUGUUGUCCCAGUGAUAAAUGAGGCAAGAGGGGCUUGUCCACUGCACAAUGCAUCAUUUCAUAAAUGCUGUUCUUUCUAAAGGUUUGCUUCUAAGGAAUGAGUUUCUGUGAAUAAAGGAGUUUUGGCAACAAUAAAGCAAUGAAAGCUUUCA